This 245-nucleotide ribosomal RNA is filed under the name uncultured bacterium. RNAcentral's name for it is "partial small subunit ribosomal RNA". It matches the Rfam family "Bacterial small subunit ribosomal RNA", at positions 26 to 285 of the family's 1533-position model. The record is from RNAcentral.
AGAAUCAACGCUGGCGGCGUGCCUAACACAUGCAAGUCGAACGAGGAAGUGGAGCAAUCCAUGAGUAAAGUGGCGCACGGGUGAGUAACACGUGACUAACCUACCCUUGAGUGGGGGAUAACCUAGAGAAAUCUGGGCUAAUACCGCAUAAUACCUUCGGGUCAAAGGAGCAAUUCGCUUAAGGAGGGGGUCGCGGCCGAUUAGUUAGUUGGCGGGGUAAUGGCCCACCAAGACUAUGAUCGGUA